This 460-nucleotide ribosomal RNA is filed under the name uncultured bacterium. RNAcentral describes it as "partial 16S ribosomal RNA". It matches the Rfam family "Bacterial small subunit ribosomal RNA", at positions 338 to 795 of the family's 1533-position model. The record is from RNAcentral.
CCUACGGGAGGCAGCAGUGAGGAAUAUUGGUCAAUGGACGAGAGUCUGAACCAGCCAAGUAGCGUGAAGGAUGACUGCCCUAUGGGUUGUAAACUUCUUUUAUAUGGGAAUAAAACGUUCCACGUGUGGGAUUUUGUAUGUACCAUAUGAAUAAGGAUCGGCUAACUCCGUGCCAGCAGCCGCGGUAAUACGGAGGAUCCGAGCGUUAUCCGGAUUUAUUGGGUUUAAAGGGAGCGUAGGUGGAUUGUUAAGUCAGUUGUGAAAGUUUGCGGCUCAACCGUAAAAUUGCAGUUGAAACUGGCAGUCUUGAGUACAGUAGAGGUAAGCGGAAGUCGUGGUGUAGCGGUGAAAUGCUUAGAUAUCACGAAGAACUCCGAUUGCGAAGGCAGUUCACUGGACUGCAACUGACACUGAGGCUCGAAAGUGUGGGUAUCAAACAGGAUUAGAUACCCGUGUAGUC